AGAAGGGUAGCAUAUUAGUGUUUUUUGCUUACAACAAAAAGGUGGUUUAUUUUUCCUCCUUCUU
This 64-nucleotide transfer RNA is filed under the name Xyloredo sp. E88. Its description in RNAcentral is "tRNA-Val". RNAcentral also lists the same sequence under 1 other name. Lineage: Eukaryota; Metazoa; Mollusca; Bivalvia; Myida; Pholadidae. The record is from RNAcentral.